GCCUAGGUGGCGGAAUUGGCAGACGCGCCGGAUUCAAACCCCGGUGUCCUUUGUGGCGUGAGGGUUCAACUCCCUCCCUAGGCACCA
RNAcentral lists this transfer RNA (87 nucleotides) under Candidatus Thorarchaeota archaeon. RNAcentral describes it as "tRNA-Leu". It matches the Rfam family "tRNA". From Rfam's summary of the family: Transfer RNA (tRNA) molecules are approximately 80 nucleotides in length. Their secondary structure includes four short double-helical elements and three loops (D, anti-codon, and T loops). The record is from RNAcentral. Lineage: Archaea; Promethearchaeati; Candidatus Thorarchaeota.